ACGCUAGCUACAGGCUUAACACAUGCAAGUCGAGGGGCAGCAUGGUCUUAGCUUGCUAAGGCCGAUGGCGACCGGCGCACGGGUGAGUAACACGUAUCCAACCUGCCGUCUACUCUUGGACAGCCUUCUGAAAGGAAGAUUAAUACAAGAUGGCAUCAUGAGUCCGCAUGUUCACAUGAUUAAAGGUAUUCCGGUAGACGAUGGGGAUGCGUUCCAUUAGAUAGUAGGCGGGGUAACGGCCCACCUAGUCUUCGAUGGAUAUGGGUUCUGAGAGGAAGGUCCCCCACAUUGGAACUGAGACACGGUCCAAACUCCUACGGGAGGCAGCAGUGAGGAAUAUUGGUCAAUGGGCGAGAGCCUGAACCAGCCAAGUAGCGUGAAGGAUGACUGCCCUAUGGGUUGUAAACUUCUUUUAUAAAGGAAUAAAGUCGGGUAUGCAUACCCGUUUGCAUGUACUUUAUGAAUAAGGAUCGGCUAACUCCGUGCCAGCAGCCGCGGUAAUACGGAGGAUCCGAGCGUUAUCCGGAUUUAUUGGGUUUAAAGGGAGCGUAGAUGGAUGUUUAAGUCAGUUGUGAAAGUUUGCGGCUCAACCGUAAAAUUGCAGUUGAUACUGGAUAUCUUGAGUGCAGUUGAGGCAGGCGGAAUUCGUGGUGUAGCGGUGAAAUGCUUAGAUAUCACGAAGAACUCCGAUUGCGAAGGCAGCCUGCUAAGCUGCAACUGACAUUGAGGCUCGAAAGUGUGGGUAUCAAACAGGAUUAGAUACCCUGGUAGUCCACACGGUAAACGAUGAAUACUCGCUGUUUGCGAUAUACGGCAAGCGGCCAAGCGAAAGCGUUAAGUAUUCCACCUGGGGAGUACGCCGGCAACGGUGAAACUCAAAGGAAUUGACGGGGGCCCGCACAAGCGGAGGAACAUGUGGUUUAAUUCGAUGAUACGCGAGGAACCUUACCCGGGCUUAAAUUGCAGAUGAAUUACGGUGAAAGCCGUAAGCCGCAAGGCAUCUGUGAAGGUGCUGCAUGGUUGUCGUCAGCUCGUGCCGUGAGGUGUCGGCUUAAGUGCCAUAACGAGCGCAACCCUUGUUGUCAGUUACUAACAGGUUCCGCUGAGGACUCUGACAAGACUGCCAUCGUAAGAUGUGAGGAAGGUGGGGAUGACGUCAAAUCAGCACGGCCCUUACGUCCGGGGCUACACACGUGUUACAAUGGGGGGUACAGAGGGCCGCUACCACGCGAGUGGAUGCCAAUCCCAAAAACCUCUCUCAGUUCGGACUGGAGUCUGCAACCCGACUCCACGAAGCUGGAUUCGCUAGUAAUCGCGCAUCAGCCACGGCGCGGUGAAUACGUUCCCGGGCCUUGUACACACCGCCCGUCAAGCCAUGGGAGCCGGGGGUACCUGAAGUGCGUAACCGCGAGGAGCGCCCUAGGGUAAAACUGGUGACUGGGGCUAA
This 1447-nucleotide ribosomal RNA is filed under the name uncultured organism. Its description in RNAcentral is "SSU rRNA". It matches the Rfam family "Bacterial small subunit ribosomal RNA". The record is from RNAcentral.